Molecule: ribosomal RNA, 253 nt
Filed under: uncultured bacterium
Lineage: Bacteria
Description: partial 16S ribosomal RNA
Rfam family: Bacterial small subunit ribosomal RNA
Source: RNAcentral
UACGUAGGUGGCAAGCGUUGUCCGGAUUUAUUGGGUUUAAAGGGUGCGUAGGCGGUCUAUUAAGUCAGUGCUGAAAUAUCCCGGCUUAACCGGGAGGGUGGCAUUGAUACUGUAUGACUUGAGUAAAGUUGAGGUUGGCGGAAUUGACGGUGUAGCGGUGAAAUGCUUAGAUAUCGUCAAGAACACCGAUUGCGAAGGCAGCUAACUAAGCUUUAACUGACGCUGAGGCACGAAAGUGUGGGGAUCAAACAGG